ACUUGCGCACACUCUCAUAAACCAGAAUCCGUCUUUCUUUGAAAGAAGACACCCAACCCCAGAGAUUUUGUUGCACAUCAAAGUCCUUGUUUAGACAUUCUCCGCUGCGUCCUGGACACAGAGACACUUCUCCAGCCCCGCUGACCUAGACAUCCUGUCUGCUGAGACCGUAGGCGUCCAGAGGACAGAAACAGGACAGAAAGGUACCCUUGGCACCACAUAGCACCACAACCCACCACAGACAUGUCGGAUUCUGAGACCGCGGCUGCCCCCGCAGAGGCCCCCGUCCCUGCAGCGUGCGCCAGCGUCAAAGCAGACCUGGACAAAUGCGUGGCGGAGAAGGGAGCCGAGGGCUGCAGGGAGCUGAUGGAGGCCUUCGCCGCCUGCGUGAAGAGCGCAGCUGAGGGGACGUCGUGAGGAGCCCCCUGCAGCCUGACAUGUCCAAUGCACCGAGUCCUCCAAGUUCCCAGCAUUCCCUUUCUGCACAACAGCACUCGACUGAAUGGUGAUAACAAUAAGGAUGACGAUUAUCGUGGGACAAACACUGUGUUGAUCGGUCUGAGUUUGGGAUCUGGAAGCAGUAACCUUAGCAUCCCCUCCCUGCCCCCUCCGUUCCUCUCCCUGUUUUAGCCGUACCUGGUCUCCCUCAGUCUUUCUGUCGUCCUCCCUGCUGAUAUCCAGUACAUUGACAAUUCCAGAGAGCUGAUGGGCUGUGAUGUAACCUGUCGACUUGAGAUAAAUGCUUAUAAAUGGAAAUAAAGUAUAAAAGAACUGGUGUGAAAACAAA
Molecule: long non-coding RNA, 787 nt
Organism: Xiphophorus hellerii (green swordtail)
Lineage: Eukaryota; Metazoa; Chordata; Actinopteri; Cyprinodontiformes; Poeciliidae
Exons: 4
Source: RefSeq, a predicted model, not a curated record